UAUAUAGUGCGAUUUAAUUUUUUUGGUUUUAGAUUAUUAUGAUUAAAAGUUAAAUUUUAUAUUUUUAAGUGGAAUUUUAAUAUAACUUUGAUAGUUGUUUCUUAGAGGUCGGUAAAUUAAUUAUUAAACUAGGAUUAGAUACCCUAUUAUUAUAACUUAAAUUUUAUUCCUUAUGAUUAAAAGUUUUGGUCUUCAAAGUAAAAGGAUUUGGCGGUAUUUUAGACUUUUCAGAGGAACCUGUUCUUUAAUUGAUAAUCCACGAUUAGGUCAACUUUUUUUAUUAAUUUAUAUAUCGUUGUAAAUAAAAUAUUUUUUUAGAUUAUAUUUUAAAAAUUUUAUUAAAUAUUAGUUCAGAUCAAGGUGUAGUUUAUAAAAAAGUAGAAAUGGGUUACAUUUUUAUUAAAUUGGGAUUUCAGGUUUUAAAAAUGAAUGAAUUUGGAUUUGAGAGUAAAUAUAUAUAUAUUUAUAUAUUGAUUUAUAGCUCUAAAAU
RNAcentral lists this ribosomal RNA (490 nucleotides) under Alurnus salvini. RNAcentral's name for it is "partial 12S small subunit ribosomal RNA". Lineage: Eukaryota; Metazoa; Arthropoda; Insecta; Coleoptera; Chrysomelidae. The record is from RNAcentral.